This 288-nucleotide unclassified non-coding RNA is filed under the name Hevea brasiliensis (rubber tree). The record is from RNAcentral. Lineage: Eukaryota; Viridiplantae; Streptophyta; Magnoliopsida; Malpighiales; Euphorbiaceae.
GUUGGAUUUGCGGAAGCUGCAUAAGUGAAUUAGCUUUAAUACUUUGGUUCUGUUCUGUGUUGUACACCCUUGAUCUUCCUCCGUUUGUAUGCUUUUUACAUAAAAGUGUCGUGUGGUUGACUUUGAAGUGUCGGAAUUAAAACUCAUGUAAAUAUCAGAACAGGAAUGUGCCUUGUUAUGUUGUCAAACUAGUACUGUACUUUAACGUCUCGGAGUUUUAAGUUUGACUAUAAAUGUUGGGUCUUGGAAAAGAUUGCCUUAUAUAAUAUAUUAUAAAUUUUAUAAUCA